GCCGGUGUGGCGAAGCAGUAGACGCGCCAGUUUCAGAAACUGGUGUCCUUAGUGGCGGGUGGGUGCGAAUCCCACCACCGGCACCA
RNAcentral lists this transfer RNA (86 nucleotides) under Brevundimonas phage vB_BpoS-Gurke. RNAcentral's name for it is "tRNA-Leu". It matches the Rfam family "tRNA". Rfam says of the family: Transfer RNA (tRNA) molecules are approximately 80 nucleotides in length. Their secondary structure includes four short double-helical elements and three loops (D, anti-codon, and T loops). Further hydrogen bonds mediate the characteristic L-shaped molecular structure. tRNAs have two regions of fundamental functional importance: the anti-codon, which is responsible for specific mRNA codon recognition, and the 3' end, to which the tRNAs corresponding amino acid is attached (by aminoacyl-tRNA synthetases). tRNAs cope with the degeneracy of the genetic code in two manners: having more than one tRNA (with a specific anti-codon) for a particular amino acid; and 'wobble' base-pairing, i.e. permitting non-standard base-pairing at the 3rd anti-codon position. RNAcentral also lists the same sequence under 1 other name. Lineage: Duplodnaviria; Heunggongvirae; Uroviricota; Caudoviricetes; Jeanschmidtviridae. The record is from RNAcentral.